The sequence is a transfer RNA, 74 nucleotides long. It matches the Rfam family "tRNA". Rfam says of the family: Transfer RNA (tRNA) molecules are approximately 80 nucleotides in length. Their secondary structure includes four short double-helical elements and three loops (D, anti-codon, and T loops).
GGGCGUGUCGUCUAGUUUGGAUAGGAUACAACCCUGCGGAGGUUGUGGCCGGGGUUCGAAUCCCCGCACGCCCA